CCCGUUCCCAUCCCGAACACGGAAGUCAAACCCUCUAACGCCAAUGAUACUGCACUAAAGCGGGAAAGUAGGUAGCCGCCGGGC
This 84-nucleotide ribosomal RNA is filed under the name Spirochaetaceae bacterium. Lineage: Bacteria; Pseudomonadati; Spirochaetota; Spirochaetia; Spirochaetales; Spirochaetaceae. The record is from RNAcentral.